Molecule: ribosomal RNA, 305 nt
Filed under: uncultured bacterium
Lineage: Bacteria
Description: bacterial SSU rRNA
Rfam family: Bacterial small subunit ribosomal RNA
Source: RNAcentral
UAACUCUACGGGACGCAGCAGUAGGGAAUCUUCCACAAUGGGCGAAAGCCUGAUGGAGCAACGCCGCGUGGGUGAAGAAGGUCUUCGGAUCGUAAAACCCUGUUGUUAGAGAAGAAAGUGCGUGAGAGUAACUGUUCACGUUUCGACGGUAUCUAACCAGAAAGCCACGGCUAACUACGUGCCAGCAGCCGCGGUAAUACGUAGGUGGCAAGCGUUAUCCGGAUUUAUUGGGCGUAAAGAGAACGCAGGCGGUCUUUUAAGUCUGAUGUGAAAGCCUUCGGCUUAACCGGGGUCGUGCAUUUGAA